CUACAGGUGGGUGGGUCGAGUAGACCAAGGCGCGCGAGAGAAACCUCUCUAAGGAACUCGGCACAUUAGCCCCGUAACUUCGGGAGAAGGGGUGCCUAUUUAAUAGGUCUCAGUAAAUUGCGUUUAGCGACUGUUUAACAAAAACACAGCACUCUGCUAAGUCGUCAAGACGACGUAUAGGGUGUGACACGUGACCAAUGCGGAAAGAUCAAGGCAACUUGUUAGCCGUAAGGCGAAGCUCGGAACCUAAGUCCCCGUGAAUGUCGGCCGUAACUAUAACGGUCCUAAGGUAGCGAAAUUCCUUGUCGGGUAAGUUCCGACCUGCACGAAUCGUGUAACGACUGAACGACUGUCUCGGAGAGGAUCUCGGCGAAACUGUAACGGCGGUGAAGAUGCCGCCUGCCCGCAGUAGGACGGAAAGACCCUAUGCACCUUUACUGUAAGCUCGUAUUGGGUUCUGAUUAAUAAUGCUUAGCGUAGGUGGGAGACUUUGAAGGCGUGGCUUCGGUUGCGCUGGAGUCGAAAUGUGAAACACCACUCUUUGUUAAUUAGGAUUCUAACCCCGAUUCCUGUGAAGCCAGGCGGGGGACAGUGCGUGCGGGUCAGUUUGACUGGGGCGGUUUCCUCCCAAAGAGUAACGUAGGAGCGCGAAGGUACUCUCAGUACGGUUUGCAACCGUGCGUCGAGCGUAUGGGUAGAAGAGUGCUUAACUGUGAGACCUACAAGUCGAGCAGGUACGAAAGUAGGCCCAAAUGAUCCGAUAGUUUAAUGUGGAAUUGCUAUCGCUCAACGGACAAAAGGUACGCUAGGGAUAACAGGCUGAUCGCUGCCAAGAGUUCAUAUCGACGCAGCGGUUUGGCACCUCGAUGUCGGCUCAUCGCAUCCUGGGGCUGGAGAAGGUCCCAAGGGUCCGGCUGUUCGCCGAUUAAAGCGGUACGCGAGCUGGGUUCAGAACGUCGUGAGACAGUUCGGUCCUUAUCCACUGUGGGCGAAGGAAACUUGAGGGGUUCAUUCUCUAGUACGAGAGGACCGAGAAUGACGCACUUCUGGUGUGGCAGUUAUUCCGUCAGGGGUAGCGCUGCGUAGCCAUGUGCGGAAGAGAUAAGCGCUGAAAGCAUCUAAGUGCCAAGCUCAUCCCAAGAUAAUGUUUCCCGGACGCAAGUCCCUAAAGACCCCAGCGAGACUAGCUGGUUGAUAGGUUAGGCGUGCAAGUGGAGUAAUCCAUUCAGCGGACUAAUACUAAUCGGUCGUGCGGCUUGAUCG
This 1263-nucleotide ribosomal RNA is filed under the name metagenome. RNAcentral's name for it is "bacterial LSU rRNA". It matches the Rfam family "Bacterial large subunit ribosomal RNA", at positions 1657 to 2925 of the family's 2925-position model. The record is from RNAcentral.